RNAcentral lists this ribosomal RNA (253 nucleotides) under uncultured prokaryote. RNAcentral describes it as "partial 16S ribosomal RNA". It matches the Rfam family "Bacterial small subunit ribosomal RNA", at positions 525 to 777 of the family's 1533-position model. The record is from RNAcentral.
ACGUAGGGUCCGAGCGUUGUCCGGAAUUAUUGGGCGUAAAGAGCUCGUAGGCGGCAUGUCGCGUCGGGAGUGAAAGCCCGGGGCUUAACCUCGGGUUGGCUUCCGGUACGGGCAUGCUGGAGUGUGGCAGGGGAGACUGGAAUUCCUGGUGUAGCGGUGGAAUGCGCAGAUAUCAGGAGGAACACCGGUGGCGAAGGCGGGUCUCUGGGCCAUUACUGACGCUGAGGAGCGAAAGCGUGGGGAGCGAACAGGA